This 301-nucleotide ribosomal RNA is filed under the name uncultured bacterium. Its description in RNAcentral is "partial 16S ribosomal RNA". It matches the Rfam family "Bacterial small subunit ribosomal RNA", at positions 509 to 807 of the family's 1533-position model. The record is from RNAcentral.
CAGCCGCCGCGGGAAUACGAAGGGGGCUAGCGUUGCUCGGAAUGACUGGGCGUAAAGGGCGCGUAGGCGGUUUGUACAGUUGGAUGUGAAAUUCCUGGGCUUAACCUGGGGGCUGCAUUCAAUACGUGCAGGCUUGAGUGGGGAAGAGGGUCGUGGAAUUCCCAGUGUAGAGGUGAAAUUCGUAGAUAUUGGGAAGAACACCGGUGGCGAAGGCGGCGACCUGGUCCUUGACUGACGCUGAGGCGCGAAAGCGUGGGGAGCAAACAGGAUUAGAUACCCGUGUAGUCCCUGUCUCUUAUAC